CGCGUAGGAACCUGCCCAGUAGUGGGGGAUAGCCCGGUGAAAACCGGAUUAAUACCGCAUACGCUCUACGGAGGAAAGGGGGCUUCGGCUCUCGCUAUUGGAUGGGCCCGCGUCUGAUUAGCUAGUUGGUGAGGUAAGAGCUCACCAAGGCAUCGAUCAGUAGCUGGUCUGAGAGGAUGAUCAGCCACACUGGGACUGAGACACGGCCCAGACUCCUACGGGAGGCAGCAGUGGGGAAUUUUCCGCAAUGGGCGAAAGCCUGACGGAGCAACGCCGCGUGAGGGAUGAAGGCCUCUGGGC
RNAcentral lists this ribosomal RNA (300 nucleotides) under uncultured Oleiphilaceae bacterium. RNAcentral's name for it is "bacterial SSU rRNA". It matches the Rfam family "Bacterial small subunit ribosomal RNA", at positions 114 to 423 of the family's 1533-position model. The record is from RNAcentral. Lineage: Bacteria; Pseudomonadati; Pseudomonadota; Gammaproteobacteria; Oceanospirillales; Oleiphilaceae.